GACGAACGCUGGCGGCGUGCUUAACACAUGCAAGUCGAACGAAGAGCGAUGGGAGCUUGCUUCUAUCAAUCUUAGUGGCGAACGGGUGAGUAACGCGUAAUCAACCUGCCCUUCAGAGGGGGACAACAGUUGGAAACGACUGCUAAUACCGCAUACGAUCUAAACUCGGCAUCGAGGAUAGAUGAAAGGUGGCCUCUACAUGUAAGCUAUCACUGAAGGAGGGGAUUGCGUCUGAUUAGCUAGUUGGAGGGGUAACGGCCCACCAAGGCGAUGAUCAGUAGCCGGUCUGAGAGGAUGAACGGCCACAUUGGGACUGAGACACGGCCCAGACUCCUACGGGAGGCAGCAGUGGGGAAUCUUCCGCAAUAGACGAAAGUCUGACGGAGCAACGCCGCGUGAGUGAUGACGGCCUUCGGGUUGUAAAGCUCGGUUAAUCGGGACGAAAGGCCUUCUUGCGAAUAGUGAGAAGGAUUGACGGUACCGGAAUAGAAAGCCACGGCUAACUACGUG
Molecule: ribosomal RNA, 510 nt
Filed under: uncultured bacterium
Lineage: Bacteria
Description: partial 16S ribosomal RNA
Rfam family: Bacterial small subunit ribosomal RNA
Source: RNAcentral